UAGGGGGCCAGUGUUGCUCGGAAUUACUGGGCGUAAAGGGUCCGUAGGCGGUGUAGCAAGUCGAGAGUGAAAUCCCUGGGCUUAACCCAGGGGCUGCUAACGAAACUGCUAUGCUAGAGUGUGAGAGAGGCGAGUGGAAUUACGGGUGUAGCGGUGAAAUGCGUAGAUAUCCGUAGGAACAUCCGAGGCGAAGGCGGCUCGCUGGAUCACAACUGACGCUGAGGGACGAAAGCUAGGGGAGCAAACAGGAUUAGAUACCCUGGUAGUCCUAGCCCUAAACCAUCAGGACUUGGGGUGUGCCCUGUACGGGGCACGUCCCGUAGCUAACGCGUUAAGUCCUGCGCCUGGGGAGUACGGUCGCAAGGCUGAAACUCAAAGGAAUUGACGGGGGCCCGCACAAGCGGUGGAACAUGUGGUUCAAUUCGACGCAACGCGAAGAACCUUACCUGGGCUUGAACCGCACAGGACCAGCUCUAGAAAUAGGGCCUUCUCGCAAGAGACCUGUGUAGAGGUGCUGCAUGGUUGUCGUCAGCUCGUGCCGUGAGGUGUUGGGUUAAGUCCCGCAACGAGCGCAACCCUUACUCAUAGUUGCUACCCGCAAGGGAGAACUCUAUGAGGACUGCUCCGGAUAACGGAGAGGGAGGUGGGGAUGAGGUCAAGUCAGCAUGGCCUUUAUGUCCAGGGCUACACACGUGUUACAAUGCGCGCCACAAAGCGUUGCAAACCCGCGAGGGGGAGCUAAUCGCAUAAAAGCGCGCUCAGUUCGGAUUGCAGUCUGCAACUCGACUGCAUGAAGCCGGAAUCGCUAGUAAUGGCGCAUCAGAACGGCGCCGUGAAUACGUUCCCGGGCCUUGUACACACCGCCCGUCACAUCACGAAAGUGGGCUGUACUAGAAAUCGUCGAGCUAACCGCAAGGAAGCAGACGCUCAAGGUAUGACUCAUGAUUGGGGUGAAGUCGUAACAAGGUAGCC
This 972-nucleotide ribosomal RNA is filed under the name uncultured bacterium. RNAcentral describes it as "bacterial SSU rRNA". It matches the Rfam family "Bacterial small subunit ribosomal RNA", at positions 528 to 1501 of the family's 1533-position model. The record is from RNAcentral.